UUCCGCAAUUGAUUCAGCGGCGGACGGGUGAGUAAUGCCUAGGAAUCUGCCUGGUAGUGGGGGACAACGUUUCGAAAGGAACGCUAAUACUAAAACGUCCUACGGGAGAAAGCAGGGGACCUUCGGGCACGUCGCUAUCAGAUGAGCCUAGGUCGGAUUAGCUAGUUGGUGAGGUAAUGGCUCACCAAGGCGACGAUCGUCGCUGGUCUGAGAGGAUGAUCAGUCACACUGGAACUGAGACACGGUCCAGACUCCUACGGGAGGCAGCAGUGGGGAAUAUUGGACAAUGGGCGAAAGCCUGCCAACCAUGCCGCGUGUGUGAAGAAGGUCUUCGGAUUGUAAAGCACUUUAAGUUGGGAGGAAGGGCAGUAAGCGAAUACCUUGGCGUAGGACGUUACCGACAGAGUAAGAGUGACGUAACUCUGUGCCAGCAGCCGCGGUAAUACAGCGGCUAGCAAGCGUUAAUCGGAAUUACUG
RNAcentral lists this ribosomal RNA (477 nucleotides) under uncultured bacterium. RNAcentral describes it as "bacterial SSU rRNA". It matches the Rfam family "Bacterial small subunit ribosomal RNA", at positions 79 to 556 of the family's 1533-position model. The record is from RNAcentral.